RNAcentral lists this ribosomal RNA (409 nucleotides) under uncultured bacterium. RNAcentral's name for it is "bacterial SSU rRNA". It matches the Rfam family "Bacterial small subunit ribosomal RNA", at positions 354 to 777 of the family's 1533-position model. The record is from RNAcentral.
GUGGGGAAUAUUGGGCAAUGGAGGCAACUCUGACCCAGCAACGCCGCGUGAGUGAUGAAGGUCUUCGGAUUGUAAAGCUCUGUGAUGGGAGACGAAGAAAGUGACGGUAUCCCAAUAGCAAGCCUCGGCUAACUACGUGCCAGCAGCCGCGGUAAUACGUAGGAGGCAAGCGUUAUCCGGAAUGACUGGGCGUAAAGGGUGCGUAGGUGGCUUGGCAAGUUGGUAGCGUAAUUCCGAGGCUCAACCUCGGCGCUACUACCAAAACUGUCAGGCUCGAGUGCAGGAGGGGUAAGUGGAAUUCCUAGUGUAGCGGUGGAAUGCGUAGAUAUUAGGAGGAACAUCGGUGGCGAAGGCGACUUACUGGACUGUAACUGACACUGAAGCACGAAAGCGUGGGGAGCAAACAGGA